Molecule: unclassified non-coding RNA, 370 nt
Filed under: uncultured fungus
Lineage: Eukaryota; Fungi
Description: partial contains small subunit ribosomal RNA, internal transcribed spacer 1, and 5.8S ribosomal RNA
Rfam family: Eukaryotic small subunit ribosomal RNA (bases 1-73)
Source: RNAcentral
GCAAACUUGGUCAUUUAGAGGAAGUAAAAGUCGUAACAAGGUUUCCGUAGGUGAACCUGCGGAAGGAUCAUUACAGAAUAAAUGUGACGAGUUGUUGCUGGCCCAAUUCCCUUGGGCAUGUGCACACUUGUCAUUUUUAUCUUUCCACCAAGUGCACUUUGCAUAGGUCUGAAGCAUUUUGAUCAAAGGUGACUUUGAUUCUUGGAAACUGCUGUUGAAUAAACGGCUUUUUCUGACUUCAGCUCCUAUGAUUUAUACACAUACACCAAUGCAUGUUAAAGAACGUUAUACAAGGCUGUAUUGGCCUAUAUAUCAUAAUACAACUUUCAGCAACGGAUCUCUUGGCUCUCGCAUCGAUGAAGAACGCAGC